RNAcentral lists this long non-coding RNA (27234 nucleotides) under Citrus maxima (pomelo). RNAcentral's name for it is "long non-coding RNA (CMAX_LNC003687)". The record is from RNAcentral. Lineage: Eukaryota; Viridiplantae; Streptophyta; Magnoliopsida; Sapindales; Rutaceae.
GGAUGGAAAGCCCGCCUCUGGGAAGGAAGUGAAAUUUGGGCAAGAGAAGACUUCUAAACUCUCAAGAGAUACGAGGUAAUGAAAGCCCUUGGAAGAUAGGCGUUCCAAUUUUGGGAAAUCUGAAAUUCUAAUCCAAGUCAGAGAAGUCGGCAAUAUCACUCCCUUCUCUACCUCAGGAAAAGACACAGCAUCUGAGCAUCCAUUAAUGCAGAGUUUCCUAAGAGAGGUCAACUUGUGAAAGCCCCAGUUGACGAGUGGCUUAUAGAUAUUAGCACCUGAAAUUUCAAGGUACGUUAGGUUGGUGGAUAAACCCUCUUCCGGAAAGAAUACAAUGCCUGGACAUUUCUUUAGGGAUAAUUCUUGAAGAGAGCUGAUUUUGCCGGUUGGUAGAGGGCCUUUAAGUUUAUCACACUCUUCGAUUGAAACGUCUACGACACUGCUGGGAAGCGCAUCUUCUGGCAGAGAAACUAGAUUAUGACAACCUUCGAUACUUAUCCGAUGAAGAUGGCUAAGAUUGUUCAAGCCUUUUGGUAACGAUUUAAGAUUAUCACAACUCGAUAUCAAAAUAGAUCUAAGACACGCAUCAUCAUAGAAUCUCUCCGCUAUAGACUCUAGAUUUGAACAAUUAGAAAUUGUCAGCUCUUCGAUCGCCACAGGUAAUUGGCAUUCUGAUGUCAGCACCUUGAAAUUAUAACAACACCAAAUUUCAAGGCGUUUGAGUGUAAUGGGUAACCAGCCUCCGGUCCAUAAGCAAGUGAGCAAUGGGCAGCGGAAGACAGAUAAGCUCUCAAGAUCAAGACAUGUGCUGCUGCUGUUGAUGGUUUUCUCCAGCACCGAAGAAGAAGUACAACUAUUUUCUCUAUCAUCCAACACACACUGCAGUGUCUCACAAUGUCGUAUAUCAAUUGAUUUCAGAGAUGAAGGUAGCUGCCCUCUUGAAAUGGAUGUUAAAGAAUGACAACCUUUGAUUCGCAGGACUUCAAGUCGUACAUUGUUGUGUAUCAUUCCAUCAGUUAAGGAUGUUAGAGCACAGCAAUCUUCGAUGGUAAUUUUUCUCAAAUUGGAAAGAAAGCAGGCCUUCGGAAGCGAAACAAAAGUUGGACAAUUCCCGAUAAGUAGGUCUUUAAGGCAGGUGAGGCUGUGCAGCCCUUGUAGUGGCUUCCCCAGGCAAAUCUCAUUUACAAACCCUUCGCAACCAACAAUCUCCAGAUGCUCUACAUUCUGAAACUUUUGACUAGACCAAUUUUCGAACUCUGAAAUAUUCCAAAGAGUCAUUUUGUUCAGUGACUUGGACUCAGAUAGACCAUCGCACACCAGCCUUUUGCAUCCAUCAAUUUUCAAUUUGCAGAGAGCUGGAACACUUGGUAAUGAUAUCACCAACUGCCUGCAUUCAGUAAUCACAAUUUUCUCCAAAGAAGGAAGAUGAUUAGGUAGUCGUCCAGAGAGUUUGGGGCAUUUAUGUAUGAAAAGCUUUUGGAGACGAGGGAAUGCCUGAACAUGCUCAUCAUUUUCAGUGUUAGGUUCCCAUUUCUCCCAAACUUGCAAAUCCUCAAAAUAUAAAGUCUGCAAUGAUGGAAAAGGUUUUGAGCAACAUUCCCCAUAAAUCUCCGAACCAAUGCCUUUUAAUGUCGACAUGCGUACGAUGGUGAGAUCUUUUAGCGAGCACAAUUGUCCUAGCGAGGGCAAGGAUGUGCUUCUUCGGCAAUUUUUCAAUAUUAGGACCGCAACAUUGGAAAACGAUGGAUCUCCUAUCCAAGACGGAAACCUUGUACCACCGUAAGAAUUGAUUACAAGCCUUUUAAUAUUACCGUGAGGCUUCAGCAUGUCAAGAAUAUUCUUUUCUCUAACCUCAUCUACUGAGUCGCCAUCACGUCGUGCCCUCCAUUCUAACUUCAAGACUUCUAGGUCUUUCUUCACUCUUAACAUAGCCUCAUUUGCUUCUUGUGAAUCGAUGACAUUCUCCAGUCCUGAAAUGCAAAGUCUUCCUCGAAGAAACUUCCAAUUCUUCAAAUCUUUCAAAGCACAUCCGCUAUCUUUGCCAACAAUAAAAUUAGUCAAAGUCCGAAGACAUUUUAAUUCUUUCAUUCCUAAUGGUAACUCACAUAACCGAUUUGCACCAUCAAUAUCAAGAUGAUAUAAAUUAACCAAAUUUCCGAUACUUGAUGGCAACUUCAAGAGAAGCCGGCAAUCGCUCAAGAUCAAAAUUUCUAAAUUGAAAAGUGAGGUAAUUGCCUCGGGCAAACAUUUGAUCCAACUCUCAGAAAAGUUGAGAUACCGUAGAUGUUUUAAACAUCCUAUUGAUGUGGGAACCUCGGAUAUACGGUAUCUUCCCAAAGAUAACACCCUCAACCUUUUACACUUCGGUAGCAAAUCAGAUAUAACCAUGGGACUAAUGUAGCCAGCAGGAGAAAAAAAGCAUUCUUCUACAAAUAUUGGCAAGAAUGUCCUCAAAUUCUCAACUUUGUCGAGAACUUUAAAUUUAUUCAUCCCAUCACAUCGAACGCCCAUCCCAUCACAAUCACCACUGCGGACGUACGAAGAAUGACGAACCUUUUCAAAUACAUUUGACUGUCUAUCCACCGAAAAUUGAUCGUCCAAUCUAAAGCAUGUUUCACCAGAAGCCCAUUGAGCCAAAUCAUGUACAAGGUCAUGCAUCACAAAUUUAGAUCCGCUGUUACUUGAUUUUUGGAACAAGGAUCUUGACAAGAGAUCAUGAAAAUACUCACUGCCCAAAUCAUCUGCUUGUUUACGGUCCUUAGAUUGUUGAAUAAGACCUUCUGCAAUCCAUAAAAGAACGAGUUCCUCCUCUUGGAAUUCAUAAUCCUUCGGCAAAAUUGCACAAUAGGCAAAACAUCUUUUUAAAUGCGAAGGAAGAUGGUGAUAGCUUAACUUCAAAACAGAAGGAACCUCAGUUUCAUCCUCUAAGUCCCAUAUUUUGCUGUCUAAUAUAGCUCUCCACUCAUCAACUCUCUGCUUAGAUCCAAGAAGACCACCAAGAGCCCUUGCUGCCAGAGGUAGACCUUUGCAUUUCUCAACAACCCUUUGACGAGUUGACUCGAAAUUUCCAUGUGUGCCAGCAUCUCUGCUGUCAAAUGCAUGAGCUACGAACACCGACCAGCAAUCAUUAUCAGAGAGAAGCUUCAGCCCAUAAUAUUUAACAGGUCCCAUUUUUGAGGCGACAUCCCGGCUUCGAGUAGUCACAAUUAUCCUGCUGCCGGGUGCUCCAGCCAUGAAGGGAGAUUUUAGAGCAUGCCACAAUUCAUACUUCUUGUCCCAAACAUCAUCCAAGACAAUCAAAAACUUCUUCUUAAGCAGAGCUUCCUUCAGCUUAAGCUGCACCGAAUUCAAAUCCUUCAGAUCACAAGAGGAGAGCGUGAUCGACUCCAGAAUAGCCUUGGAGAUCCUGAGAACAUCGAAGUCAUCAGAAACACAAACCCAAGCUUUGGGUUUGAAAUCUUCCACUCUCUUGUCAUUGUACACCUCCUGAGCAAGUGUUGUUUUCCCGAUACCUCCCAUACCCACAAGGGCUAUUACUCGAAAGUUGGCAGCAUCACAAGGAUCAUUCUUUAACACCAUAUCAAGUACCCUGGCUUUCUCUGUAUCUCUCCCAUAAACAGCAGGUUCGCUUGUUAAGCAGGUGGUGGGUGGUCUUUGCCUUACUGCAGCAGUAUGCGCUGACCCUCCAGCAAUCUUUUCCAAUCCAAGAUCAGUUCUCCUUUCACAGAGUUCUUCAAGCCUGCUACUGAUUUCUUCCAUCUUAGACCUCGUGCUAAUACCGGCCAUAAUACUACUUGCACCAGAGGAAAAGCCUUGGAUGAGGCUACGAAACGUGCUAGAGCUGGCUUCAUGUUUCUUCAACAAUCUCAGCCCGGCUUCAGCAGCAAACUCAUCGAGUAUGUCCUCUGCAUCGUAAGCCAAGUCUCGGAGAUCAUCCAGCCACAGCUUCACAGCCCUGUCACUCAGCUGCUUCUCCUCUGCAUCGAUCAGCACUGCCUCAAUUGUCUUGAGUGUUUCCUCCCACUUUUUCAGCUUUGCACGGACACCCUCUUGGCCGGCUAACUUCAGCAACUGAGGGGACAUUAAUUUUUCGAACAACGCCUGAAGAAAGGCAGAAAGAAAGAGCUCCGCCACAGGCAUGGCUUCUUUUUUUUUGGGGGAGGGGAGGUGCUUUUGCAAGUCCAAAAAGAGAGAGAAAAUCAGAAGAAUUCAGACGGGUUAUCACACAAAAGAGAAGAAUGAAAGCAAUAACCAAAAUAAUAAUAUUUAAGAUUCUAACAUUUAAAUAGUAAAUUAAUUUUUAAUAUUAUAUGUCGCUCAUCUAUUAUUUAUCACUUAUUAUUUUAUUCUACUAUGUAAUUAAUGAGUACCACGUCAAUUAGAAUAUGGGUCAAAUAUUGAAUUUCUAUUAUUACCCUUUGCAAAAUGGCAUCACUGGACAAUCUAACCAAUAAUUUACGUAAUCAAAAAAAAAAAACCAAUAAUUUACAAAGUUAAAUUAAAAAUUUAAAAGCUGCACAAAGAGGAUCAAGUUAAUGUCAUUACAACAUUCUAAGCAACUUUAUAUGCCAUACUAAUAUUUUUUACAAAUAAAUAAAAAAUUAUUUAAUUCAACUUUUUUUUAAUAAUGAUAUACAAUUAAAAUCUAUUUAUAUUUCUAUUCGCGGGCUGGAUAUUUCUACCCCAUUGAUAUUCAUGAAUAUAUCUAUUUUACUCAUUUUAGUGAGAUAUAGCCAAAUAAUAAGAUGUUAUAUUGAGUAGAACAAGGCACCAUACUCCUAUCAUCCGUGUUAAAUGUUUAGGAAAUUUGUAAAAAUAACUCAAAAACUUUUACAAUUUUCACAAUUAACCCUCCAAUUUUUUUCCUAUCAACAUUAGCCAAACACAAGAUUUUCUCUCCAAAUUACCCUUAUUUACAAAUCAAAAACAACUUUCAUUCUCCCCCUUUAUCAAACCGAACACAGCCUUGCACUCUUGAAUCAUCACCGGCGAUGGCGAACAGUAAAAGUGAACUCCGAUCAAAUAUAGUAUAAUCCAUCUCGAUCCAACACUAAUCCGUAUCACGAGUGAUAAGAGGUAUUUUCUCAAUUUGUGAGAGUUUCAGUGCGAUUGCAUCUUAGUGCGACAGGCACCUAUCGCACGAUUUUGGUGCGACAGGUAACAUGCAGAUUUACCCGAAUCUGCCUUUUCGUGCGACGGCCAUGCGUGUCACACCAAAAUCGCACCAAGGGAAAGAUUCAUUGUAACUCACUCUUGGUGCGACAAUGCGACAAGCAACCUGUCGCACCAACAUACAAUUAUUUUUUUAUAAUGUUAUAUAUAAAAAUUUAUUCUCUUUAUUAGUUUGAUAGUGCGUAAUUAAAUUUUUUUAAUAAUUUCAUGCUUAAUGGAUUCAGUUUUUUUACUCUCCUUUGCAUCCGGCUCAAGGGUUUGUAAAAUGUCCCCCUGCCAUGAAUUCAACCCAAAAUUUUAAGUGUACAGAACUCGAAUUUAGUAAUGUCAAAAAUAGUACUAUAUGUCUACCAAUGCAUAUUACUUACAAGACGAGAUUCGUCAUUCAAGAAUGAAUAAACAUCAGCAAAGUUUAUUUUAGAAGAAGCCAUGGGGUUCCAUUGCACAAUACAGGGAAUCUUUUUCUUCGAUUUCACACCCAUGCUGACAGCAGAUCUCCGAUCGCUUCGUAAAUCCAAGCCUACAAUAACCAAAGUGAGAAAGCUAUUAAAACUACUAUUAAAUAUUUAAUGUUACAAAACUUAUUAAUAAAAAAAACAAUGCACCUGAACCCUGGAUGUAAAGUCGUAAACAUUGUACUUUUCUAUUUUAUGAUUUGGCUUUUCCAACUAAGUUGUCUUAAAUUUCUCGUCUUUCUCAUUCAGUGCAUUGUCAAGACUCUCGUAUAUCGUUUCCCACGACAAACGAGCCCAUGGAUGAUUUCAGAAGUGAUCUAUAUCAUCUACUUCGUUAAGCCAUGAGAAAUAGAUUUGAAAGUGGCAUUUUCUUCCAUUUAAUGCGACAAUGUCGUCCAUAGCCUCAAAGUCCAACUCCUUAAAUAAUGCAUCGAAUUGCUUAAGAUUAAUGUUGCGAAACAAACCAUCAAAAUACUUAUUCAGUAGCCUAUGCACCGUUUUAUUAUUUGUUAGUGCGGUAUCUACACCAUAGGAAAGUCCAGUAACCAGACAUCAUUCUCCAAUUGACAAGUGUAUCAAAUGCUCACCAAUUUGAAACCAUAACUGAUCCUCCCCCCCGGUAUUCUCCAUGGGCCACUUGCCGAAGCAAAACAUUGUGCAAAAUUACACCACUGAACGGAAAGCUUCGGCACUCCAAGAAAUGUCCAGCUAUGUCGUCCUUGAACAGACACAACUGUCGUUUUGUUAAUUUUUGCUCGAUGGCUUUUACGACUGUAGAAAAGUUACACAUGCUCGAAAUUCACCCCGGGAAGUGAUCGGCAUAAGCUAACUCCAUCCUACCCAGUUUGUUUCUCUAUACUUCUGAUUUCGCCAUGUAUCUAUAAUAUUUAUAACAUUAUUACAUUGCAUUUAUAACCAAAAAAAAAAAAAUUGACUUCACGUAAAAAAACACUGUAAUUUGGUGUGAUAGGCUGCUUGUCGCGCGCGCGAUAGGCACGAUGUAGAGCGUGCGCGGCGCAAGUUGCACCUGAUGGCAAAUCGUGAGCCAAGAAGCCUCCUCCUCCACAAUUUCCCAACUUCUUCACCCAUGCACCACACCAACACUUCACCCAUGCACUCAACAUCACAAACCCUUCAAUCUUCACUCACCAUCACCAACACAACACAAAAACCAAAACAUAAAAGAAGAAUAGAAAAUAGAAAAUUAUGGUUUUUGACCUAACUUUUAAUUUCAGCUUUUGACCGGAAUUUUGGUGAUGUUGGUUGCCGAGAAUGACUCCGGAAAGCCGUUGGCGAUGAGUGAACAUGUUGGGAGAGAAUUCGGCGGAGAGAGAGAGAGAGAGAGAGAGAGAGAGAGAGAGAGAGAGAGAGAGAGAGAGAGAGAGAGAGAGAGAGAGAGAGGAGUUAUGGGAGGGGUAGUUUCGGCACUAGGGAGGACUUUUGGCUAAUGUUGAUAGGAAAAAGUUUAGAUGGCUAGUUGUGAAAAUAACAAAUUUUUUGGGUUAUUUUUAUAAAAUUCCCUUAAAUCUUGAUAUUAGUGUUGUUAAGUUUUGUUUUCAAUAUUAUCGUUAGAGGACAAAACUAUCUUGCAACCGUGGUUCCGUACCACAAUAAUGCUCUAUUACACAAUAGUCCUUCUAAUAAAAAUUGCAGGUUUUGAAAUUUUAAUAUAUAAGCCCUAAUUUAAAAAUUAUUUGUUAUUUUCUCUCUCUUAUUUUCCAUGGUUUAAUAUUAAUCCUGGUUUUUUUUUCUCCUCCACGCUUCUUUUUUUUUUUAUCUGGUUUCUUCUUUUCUUUCUUUUUUUUAAUAGAAUUUCGUAGAUAAUUUUUUGUAUUUUUGAAUUUUCAAAGACAAUAAGAGGAUUUAUUAAAAAAAAGAAAAGAAAAUAAAAAUCAAUCAAUUGGAUUUGAUCUAAUAUUUGCUGUGUUUGACCUCUUCGCUUUAAGUUGACUUUGUUAUAGUAAUUGGGUGGUCUUCUCUCAAAGAUAAAAAGCUUAUUUGGCUUAUUUUUGAUACAAUCAAUUGGUUUAAUGAUCAAAUUUUGCCAACUGAAUCUGAGUUAUCCUAAGAUUUUAAAAAUCUUGUGACACUUGGCCUUUACUGUUAUUAUAUGAAUAGGUUAUAAUUAUCUUUAUUUUUUUAAUUCAUUAACUACCAAUUACUUAGUGAAUUUUUUCUUGGAAAACAUUACAUCAUAAUAGAUUCCUAAUUUAACUACCUUAAAUCACAAAGUUUCAAUCAUUAACGUUAGAAAGAAAAUCUUGUUGAAAGUUUAUUAGGAUUUAAUUACCUUUAUUUGAAUUCGAUUGAAACGUGCAAACACAAACAACUUACCCAUCUCAACUCGUAUAAUUAUUAUGAUUAUUAAAAGAUGAAACCAUAAAUUUUUUGCCUAAAAUGAAAGAAGUUUAACCAAACAUUGAUUAACUCUUUUAAGCUUUGACUAAUCAGACAAACUUUACUUUAUUUGUUUCUAGCCCUUCUACCUAGAAAAAAAACUUUUUCAAUUUUCAUUUUGGUUCAUAAAAAUCAAAUCGACAAAUCUAUUAGAAAUCUUUACAUGAAGUUUAUCAUUAUUAAACUCAUUAUAAGUCUCUACAAAUUUUACCAAUAAACAUAAAACAAUAAGGAAAAUACUACUCUGCUAAUACUCAUCUCCAUUAUGUUCCCAUAAAAAAAAAACUAGAGUAAUAAAAACAUUUGAUAUUGUGUACUUUCUCAAUUGUAUGGAUAAUUAAUUAUAGAAGUAGAUAUGAAAAUAAUAAUAAUAAUUAUAGAAUUAUAAAAUAUUGAUGUAUUUGUGGAAUAAAUCAAGAGAUUUGUCUUUCUAAAGUUCAUAGGCUUUAUUGUAUUGAAGAAGUUGUGGCUCUCAUGGAUGCGCAACUAAAUCGUGCAUUAUAAUUACCCAAUAUCAAUAAUAAAAAUCCUCUCAAAAUUCCCUAUAUCUUCCUUACUCAUAUUAUUUAAUAACUUAGUAAAUAAAUAAAAUAAACAACUAAGAUAGAAAGAAAAAAACAUGAAAGUCAAAAUUCCCUAUAUCUUCCUUACUCAUAUUAUUUAAUAACUUAGCAAAUAAAUAAAAUAAACAACUAAGAUAGAAGGAGAGAUGAGGAUGACUAUUGAUGGGGUGGGAGAGUAAAAUAAUAAUUAUUAUAUUCUUUCUGAUAUUUUAGAAAACUAGAGGGAUUGCGAUGUUAAUUACCUAAGUAAAUACAUCAUACCGUUGCUUUUACUUUUGCAAUUCUUUCGUUGGAUCUAACGGUCAAGUAAAAAAAAGACAAAAAAAGGUGGUACCAUACCACUGUAGUGACUUAGCUGAACCUUGUCGUUAGACCCUACUUAUAACCUUAAACUUUUAGGUCAAAUAGUUUUUAAAUUCCUAAAUUUAUUAUAUAAUUGUAUUUAUGCAGUUUCUUAGUGCUCAUUCUUUACACGUUUAAUAUAGAGUGAAAAUACAUAUAUAUUUUUAAAUUUUUUAGUUCACUUUAAAGCUCUUAUUUUUCAGCAAAUUUCUUUCUUAAUUCUUAGUCAACAUCUUAAAAAAUUUAUUAAGACUCAUUUUAAAUAUUAUUAUUGUUCCGGUGUUCCCUACCUAACUUAAAGUUUCAAAAUAAACAGUUGCUCGAAGACAGACACCCAUCUACAUAGCUAUCAUUGGGGACAAAAAGUUUCUUAUUAUUAAAAAUUUACGACUCUCUUUUUGAAAAAAAAAAAUUAUUUAGUACUUGUGUGAGUGAUGCACUUAACACUCUCAUAUAAACAAUUUGUCUUGAUUGGAGAAGGCUCUUGGAAAUCAAUGGAAUUAAAAUUUUUCUUGUUAUAGGAAUCAUGUGGACUCCAGCAUGGUCUAAAACGACGGCCCUUGCAGCCUUUUUUUUGUUUGCUUUGAAUUACUUUUUUAUUUAAAAAAAUAAAAAAAGAAAAUUGCGAAAGGGUUGUGACAUUUCCCGCGGGCCCACACUUUUUCUAAAGUCGCUCAUUUCCACACGUUUUCUUUGCUUUAGAAAUCAAAGAAAUUCCACACUUUUUUUAAUUUGGAAAAAGUUAAAAAGUUGGAAAAUGCUAUUUACUCGGAUCAAAUCCCGAAGCUAAUAAACGAUGUAGUUUUAAUUUUUUUUUUCUUUUCAUUCUUCCUAAAAUGACGUGGUUUUAGCUUGAUUAAGGUAGCAAUGAUAGUCUCAAAUUGCUUUCUUUCCUCUUUGUCUUACUCUCACCAUAGUCAUUCUCCUUAUAUUUCUCUGUAAAACCACUGCUUUCUUCCCCUUCGUUUCACAAUUGGCAGCCUUGACUCUCUUGAGAUGAGUCAGUGCUGUAACAACCCUUGACAAGUUAAUUAAACUCAAUAAUGGAAGUACCAGUUACAGCCUCUGUGUCAGCAGCAGUUCCUGCACCGCAAAAAUAUAUUUGGAGCCAUGUAAUGAAUUUUCUCACAAUUCUUAUCACAAACAAUGGGUUGUUCAGUUGCUCUGUGAUGAGCACAUAAUAUAUACAUAUUUUACCCUUAAUUCUAUAAUUAUUAGUUAUUUUUAUUUAUUAUUUUUAAUUAAUUAAAUUAUUUUAUUAAAUAGGGUAAUAAAUUGAAGAUUGGGAAUAAUUUAUGCUUAAAGGGAUCAAAGCAAGAGAGAGUUGAAGAUUGUUCAUGCUCGUUGCCGUGGUGAUAAAGUCAAAAGAAGAAAAAAAAACAAUUAAAUUGAUUGGCCGAAUUAAUAGCUAAAGGACAUGACAAAUAUUAGCCAAAUUAAAAAGGAAUGAAAAUUCCAAGUGGAGUGCACGUGAGUGAAGCCAAAGCACAUUAAAAGGGCUUGGCCUUCCGCUUAAGAGCAUCUUCAAAAACUUCUAUAAAUUUUAUUCUUCAAAUAACUAUUUACUUACCUAUGAGGUAAAUAGAAAGGUGAAAAAAUAUGAUAUUUUCUAAAAAACUCUUCAAAUAAAAAUAAGUUAAUAUUAUUUUAAUCAUAUAAUUAGUUUUUUAAAGGAAAAAUUAAUAGCAAUUAAAACACUUCUCUCUUUUUCUUCAAUGAAAAAUAAUAAAAUAUAAAUUGAAGAGGGAGAAAUUAACUCUCCAAAUUUGAAGAGAGAUAAUCAAUUCUUAUUUGAAAAAUCUUAAUUGGAGUGUCUUUUGGAGCUUUAAAUAUUAAUGUGGCUCUUCAAAUAAGUAAUAAAAUCUUAUUUGAAGAGCCUUUUGGUGAUGCUCUAAGAGUUGGAAAAGUCGGUGGGGCCUAUUUUACAGACUAUAUAAGAAAGUUGAACUUUGGCUUUUGGAGGAGGGAAGCCGCCAGAGCAACGAAAAAGAGCAGACGCGAUUCGGCAGAGAAGACAGGAGCGGCAACAACAGUUCAAUAUUUCCAUGGCUGUUUUUAUUUGCUUUGUUGCUUCUUAUUCAAGUAUGUUUAACUAAUUUUCUUAUAUUGAGGUUAAGAAUGAAAUUCUAUUUUAUAAAAUAAUUAUCUUUUUAUUUAAUUUAAUUUCCUACAUAUGUUCUUUUGAUGAUUUCACCAAUUCUGUCAUGCAUUAUUGAUUGUUAGAAUUAAUAUUUGAUUAAAUCUAUGCUUGGGUCUAUAAAGUUUAUAUAUGAUUAUCUUUGAUUCUAUAUUUUUCAUUAAAUUAUUUACACAGAGUGCGUAGAAAAUAUUUGACUCUUUAUUAUUCAAUUCGUUUACAUAGGAUGCUUAGAUAUCAUACUAUUAAGCAGAAAAUAAACCUACACAAUAUUAAUUUUAUUUGGACUUAAUUGUGAUAUCUAUGAGAUGACAUAAAUUGAUUUCGAGUUGUCAUUCUAAAAUUGGAGAUUAAUUAAUAAUUAAGUAAUUACUAGUUGAAUAGUGGUGGAUUCUGAAACCUUGAUAAUUUUUGUCUUAUUAAAUUCUCCUUUGUUUUAAUUGUUUUCUUAGUUUAAUUGGUUUAAUUUUAUUAGAAACUCAAUUUAUUCAACUAGGUUAGGAUUAAUAAUAAUUUUAGAUUUAAAUUAACUUUUCAAUUUAUAACAAUUCAUGUGGGUUCGACCUUAUUACCACUAUUCUAUUUCUGGAUUCGUGCGCUUGCGAGUAUAUUAUAAUUUUUCACAACACUCUCGUAUCUGCCCCAAGAAUGAAGCCAUCCUAUGAAAAAAAAAAAGGACAAAUAAGAAUAAGAUAAGCAUUCCUGAACUGUUUUGAUAGGAGCAUUAUCUAACAGGAUGGAUAUGCUGCAAAAGCGUGCAUAUUUUUAUCCUUAUAAUUUGAGAAAGUGUCAAGUGCCGUAAAACCAUAGGCCACGCUAGUUGGCAAUCAUCUUCAAGGAAACCGUCACAAAUUCCCCUAUUUAUAAUGGCAAUCCACUCUCCCAAACCAAAAAGAACACAUUGACAUGAUAACAAAUACAUAUAUUCCACUUUCAUAUUUCAUCUAAUUAUAACUUCUUUCCGGUGGAAGUCUGAAAUAAUUCCCUUAUACAUUCUUCAUCAUCCUUGAACCAAUCAUUUACUGCAAUAUUUUUAAACGAAGGGGAAGAAAGCAGUGGUUUUACAGAGAAAUAGAAGGAGAAUAAUUAUAGUGAGAGUAAGGCGAAGAAGAGAGAAAGCAAUUUGGGGCUGUCGUUGUUGCCUUAACCAAGCUAAAACGACAACGUUUUAGGGAGAAUGAAAGGAAAAAAAAAAAGGAUUGAAACAGCAUCGUUAAUUGACUUUGGGGUUUGACCCGGGGUAAAUAGUAGAACUCUAAAAAAUUUGGUUCUUAAACAUAAAAGUACUGUACGCGCUUUUUAAAAAGAUUAGGCUCAGAGUUAUUGGAAGAAUUCCUUAUUAGGUUUCCUUAUACAUUCAAGAAAUUUAUUAUUAAAAAGUAAUUUUGGUAUUUAGAUAUAAUAUAAAUUGCGGUGUUAUAUAUUAUAGAAAAAGUGGGGCUAUAUUAAAUCUAUGAAAUUUCCCCCUAUAUCUAUUUAAAAAAUAAAUUCAUUAUCUUGAUAUUCAUUAAUUUUUGUAUUUGGUAAAAAUUAAUUUGUUGAUGCUAAUUAACUUUCAUAACUGAUAAAAAUUUAUUGAUGUUUAUUUUUAAAUGGUGAAUGUUGUUUCUCUUUGUUAGUGAUACUAAUUAUUUAUAGUUAAAAAAAAUCUAAAUGAAUUGAUGAAAAUUUGUGAAAUUAACAAGUGGAAGAGAAGAAAUCGUUAGUUAAAUAUUUUUUUAAAAAUUAUUUAGAUAAUAAAAUUUUUAAUUACAAAGAAGACAUUAGAGAGAAAAUUAAUAGAUUCGGGUGCGUUUGGGAGUGAGAUGCUGUAACAUUUAAACUACAAUUGCUGUAGUUAGGGGCGGAUGCAGUAUAGGACCAGUGGGGCCUGUAGCCCCCGCUGGCUAAAAACAAAUUCUAAGAAUAAAAGAAAAAAUAUUUAAGAUUUAUAAUUAGCCCCCAUUAAAUCUAUUAAAAUUGACCUAUAAAUUUAUAUAUGAACUCACAAAAUUUAAACUUUAACUUUUAGAAUUAUAAAAGUCUACACUAUAAUUAAAAAUAAUGAUAGGUCACCACCACAAAUAUUUUUCUAUUCUUGAAAAUACGUCGAGAACAAUUAUAAAUGUAUUAAAAAAUAUUUUAUACAUUCAAAGUUUUAGUUUUAAAAUUUUACUAUUAUAAAAUCUAGCCCCCAGUAAAUUAUUUUUCUAGAUCCGCCACUGACUGUAGAGAAAAAGUUAUAACUGUAGUCUGUAGAGUAGAAGUUGAUAGUGUUUGGUAAAAAUGAUGUAACUUUUAAACUACAACUACUGAUGGUGUUUGGUAAAUUUUAAUAGCUGUGGAGUGGAUGAAUAUUUGUAAUAAUUAAUUUUAUUAUUUUUAAUUGUUUACAAAUCAAAUUAUUUUUCAUACUUUGAAUUAUUAUAUUGACAUACAAUUACGGUUUAUUACUUUUACAUAUUAAAUUAAUAUUUAUUAAAUCAAAUUUAUUUUUUUGUACAAGUUGUAAUAAAUAAAUUUUAAAUAAAAUAAUUUAAAAAUGAAAAAAUAAAUUCUAGUUUUAAAUAUUGAUUGAAGAAAUAAAUUAUAUCAAAUACGUCUAAUAACGAUCAUACAACAUAACAUAAUAAAAUGAAAAUGUAAUUAAUUACAAAAAUCGUAUAAAUAUUUCUAUUGUCAUGCCUCCAUUAAACUCGCAGCAAUGCCAUCUUUCAAGAUUAUUAUAUCUUAAGCCGUGUUAUCAAUUGUAUCAUAACUUUCUUCAUGAUAUGCAAUAUUGCUUAUAUGCAUGCUAAUACUAUGAUUUGGCUCAUCCAUUGUUUCAUCAAAAUGAUCAUGAUUUUGUGAAUAUCUUUUGAUGUAAUCAUGUAAGGCCAUGGUAGCAAUAACUAUCUUCAUCCGCUUCUUGAAUGGGUAACUGGCAAAACAUGUUAACCCGCCUACUUACAUUUUCGUCAAGUAUUUCUACCAACCAUUUAUGCUCUGUUUGAGUAGAAUUCAUACAAGGCUACUAAUGGAUAAAUGUCAAAUAAUAAUGAUGCAUCAAAACAGCCAUUACACAAACAAGCUAGUCAAACUCCUCUUUAUAAUUAUUCAUAUUCUUAUAUCGAAUCUAUAACCAAUUAUCUAAAAUUAUAAUGAGAUAAUUCAAACUACAAGUUGGUCAAAUUCAGACUCCUUCACUCUCAAAGCAGAUUCAUGAUUAGUAAUAAUCUUUUGAAUUUCAUUCUGCAUUGUUAAAAGAAAAAAAAAAUGAGGGGAAUAAUGAAAUAGUUGCACAAGUAGUUGGAUUCAUUUUUGAAAUAUGAAACAGCAUUCAAUAAAAGCGUAAAAAAAAAAAAAAAUGAAAACACAUGGAUCAUAGUUGGCUGAAAACCACAGCAGUGUUUUUGCCGUGUGAGUUUUGCAAUUUUAUUUUAUUAGUGAAUUUCAUAAGUCCCAGUCUAGCGUUGAAUUAUGCAGCAUCGAAUUUUCAUAAGGCAUGAGAUUCUAUUGCCAAUUCUCAUAAGUUCCAGUUUCAUUAAGUUUAUUGGUUGAACACUGUUAGCUUCUUUUUCCUUUCGUGAGAGAGAAAGCGGGGGUGUACUGGAGAGUGGAUAAAAAAAAGAGUAAUGUAGCGCUGCAUACAACUAGUAAUAAUUGUUACGCUUACGCUAGUUAAUGAAGUGAUGGAUAUUACAAUUGUAAAUUCUGGGAAUACACCCUGGCACUUUCCUGAACUCUUUCAAAGAAAUUCAUACAUCAACACAAACAAUUUGAUUUGAAGAAAUUGAUCUACUCUUUCAAAGAAAUCCAUGCACUAGGGUCUUAUAUUUCCACCAAAAAAAUUCCACACGCAACAAAAUAUCAAACAAUACGGGUCCCAACGACGAAAAUCAAGAAUGAAAUUGAUUAUAGGCUUUGAAAAUUCUUUUUCACAUUGACCAGAAGUCUACUGACGGCUCUGUACGUAUGAAUGUCAAGCUGCUGGUCUUUAAUUUAUGCAAGCCAAAUUUCCCACACAGCAAACGAAGAUCAAUAGCACGGGACAUGGAAACAAUGAAAAGUAUGCUUUACAAGCAAAAUUGUCUGCUUGGGCAUGUGGAUUUUGUGAAGGAGAUUAUACGCCAAAAGCUAGAGCUUGCUGGAAAGUCAAGACAUAAUUUUAGAAGACAUAUUAACAAUCAUUUCAAUGGAAACUAAAAGAAUUAUGUGUGUGUGUUUGUGUAAGAAGAAGCUUUUAUUUUUCCUCAAGCAAAUGGUAUUUAGGUCAAAAAGUUUCUAUAUCCCUAAAUUUAUUAAUUAUAUUUGUAUAGUUUCUUAGUGCUAAUUCCUUACACAUUUAAUAUGGAGUGAAAAUACAUUUUUUUUUUAAUUUUCUGAUUCACUUUAAAACACUUAUUUUCCAGUAAUUUUCUUUCUUACUUCUUAGUCAACAUCCUAAAAAAUUUAUUAAAACUUAUUUUAAAUAUUAUUAUGGCUCCUUACCUAACUUAAAGUUUCAAAUUAAACGAUUGCUCGAAGACAUGGUGUCUUAGACACCAAUCUACAUUGGGGACAAAAAAUUCUUAUUAUUAAAAAUUUAUGAAUCUCUUUUUUUUUUUUAAAAAUUGAAGUAAAAAAAAAAAAAAAAACUUAGCACUUGUGCAAGUAAUGCGCUUAACACUCUUAUAUGAACAAUUCGCCUUGAUUGGAGCAGGUUCUUGGAAAUCAAUGGAAUUAAAAUUUUUCUUGUUAUAGAAUCAUGCGGACUCCAGCAUGGUCUAAAACGACGGCCCUUGCAGUUAGGGGUGGGCAAAAAAACUGUAGUCUUAAAAAAAUCGAACCGAACCGAUGGUUUUUUCUAAUUCGGUUCGGUUUUUAUUUUUUAAAAAAACCGAAUAUACCGUUUGUAAAAAAAACCGAAAUGUCGGUUUAGUAUUCGGUUCACUUAGCUGAACCGAAAAACCGAACCGAAAAAUCGAAUUAUUUUUUGAUUUUAUUCAAAUCAAACAUGUGUUAAUAAUUUUAUUCAAAUCAAACAUGUGUUAUUUCUCUUUAUAACAUUAUGAUUAUGUUUAUAUAGAUGGAGUAUUGGAGUUUGGUUAUAUAUUUUAAAAUUUUAAUAUUUCAUAUAUUUGGGAGUAUCUUAUUAAUAGUUAGUAAGAUAUUAGUGAUAAAAUGUGUUUUGAAUAUUUUGUAUUUAUUGUUAAUAUUUGUAAUAAAAUUAGGAUAAAUUAAUUGUUGAAAAAAAUUAUUACAUUCAUGAGGCCCAAUGGGCUAAAAAUUUAAAAAUUCAAAAUAGGCCUAAUAGGCCCAGAACCGAAAAAACCGAACCGAACCGAACCGAUCCGAAAAGAACCGUUUGAGUUCGGUUCUUAUUGAGUUCGGUUCUUAUUCGGUUCUUUUUAUAAAAUAACCGAUUUAAAUCGGUUCUACUUAAUUUUAAACCGAACCGAACCGAACCGUGCCCACCCCUACUUACAGCCGAUUUUUUUUAGUGCUUUUUAUUAUUUUUUGUUAAAAAAAAGUGAAAUUUUUUUUGGAAAAGGGCACUGACAUUUCCCGCGGGCCCACACUUUUCCCAAACUCAUCCAUUCCGCAAAAAAAUUAUAUUAAAUUUAUUAAAACGAUUGCGAUGCUUCUUUUUUCAAUUUGGAAAAAUAUUACGUGUGAAUAAAAGGUAUACAUUGAAUAAUUUUGUUAUUAAAAGGGUAGUUUUGGCAUUUAGAUAUAUUUAAAACUGGGGUGUUAUAUAUUGUACAAAAGGGUAGGCUUAUUUAUACCCAUCAAAUUCAUCUCUAUAUUAUUAUUUUUACAUUGCAUUAUUUUGAUAUUCAUUAACUUUUGUGUUUGGUAAAAAUUAAUUUUUUGAUGUUCAUUAACUUUUAUGAUUGAUAAAAAUUUGUUAAUGUUCAUUUUUAAAUAGUAAAUUUUAUUCGUCUUAAUUAGUAAUACUAAUUAUUUAUAGUUAAAAUAAUAUAUCUAAAUGAAUUGAUGAGAAUUUAUGAAAUUAAAAAGAAUAAGAGACGAAAGAGUUAAUUAAGUAAUUUUUUUAAAAUUAUUUAGAUAAUAAAAUAUUUUCAAUUAAAAGAAGACUUAGAGAAAAAAAAAAUUAAUGGGUUCAAGUAACCACAUUCUAUAUAUAAAAAAAAAAUAGUAAUAAUACAGCCACAAACUCUUGUACAAACUUAUCUUGUACAAACUGAUGUUACAUAAUAAAAUUGGUUGAAUUAAAUAUCUCUUGGUUCACAUGAUUUAUUUAUGUUAUUUUCUAUUUUCAUUCAAUCAAUGAAUUAAUGCCACAUCAGUUUGUACAAGAUAAAUUUGUAUAAGAAUUUAUGAAUGUAUCAUUACUCAUAAAAAAAAAAGGGCAAAAUUAUUACCCAUUCCCUUUAGCCUUGAUAUUAACCCCAUAUGGUUAUUUAGUUUUCUUGUCAUUAUUGCCCCGCCAUAUUUAUAUAAAUUUUCAUUAUUGCCCAUUGCACGUUUUAUGUAAGGGUGUGGAUAUUUCCACCCCACUAUUUUUAUAAACUCACCCCAUCUUCAUAAAAUAAUUACAAUAAGUUCACAUUAUUUUAUAGAAUUACAAAUUAAUAAUAAGUUUGAAUAAUUAAUUAAUUAAAUCAUUCUUAUAAUAUUUUUUUUCUUACUUUGUCUUUUAACAAUCUUUAACACUUUAAGGUUGCUUUAAGAUAAGUUUAAUUUAACUAAUUUAUCCUUAUAAUAUAAAAUAACUAGAUUAACCUAAGAAAUAUAUAUGUUAUUGUAACUAAUUGUUUAGGCAUUUAGUUUUAUAUUUUAUAAUCUAAUAUGUUUUAUAUAAAAUUUAAUAAUUUUCAAUACUCCAGAUGUCUUAAUUACAUCUCGUUAGUUUAGUAGAAUAUUAAUAAUCAUACUAAAAAAGUACUACUUACACAUCAAUAAAAUAUAAAAAAAAUUGUAUAUAAAUUUAUUAAAGUUAAAGUAAAUUUUUAGAUAUUUUUAGUACUUUUACCUUAUGAGGUUAGAAUAAUUAUAUUAAUUUAUGUUAAAACAACCCUAUUGAUAAAAUAUAAUAAAAAAAUAGUCUCAUAAAAAAUUAAUUAAUGAAUAUGGAUUUAAUUGGUUAAAUUUUUAAAUUUCUUCUUAAUUUAAAAUUUUAAAAAAUAAUGUGCACUUGUUGUAAUAAUUUUUAAAAAUUGGAGUGGGUUAAUAAAAUUUAUGGGGUGGAAAUAUCACCAGCCUUUAUGUAAUUGCUCGCUAAAGUUUAUAUUUCCUUCGUUAAGUAACCAUCUCAAACCAAAAUCCUAAUAUUGCUUCUGGUUGUAACUUGCAUGUAAUUCAUACCCAAAGGCUUACGCAAUCUUAGCCAUCUUCAUUGCAUUAAUAUAGAAGACUGUCAAAAUCUUGUUUCUUUCUCGGAGGAUUUGCUUCCCGGCACCAUCAUGGAAUUUUCAGUCCAAAACUGUGAUAAUCUCAAAGGCCUACGAGUUGGCAUGUUCAAUUCUCUUCAAGAUUUACUCCUGUAGCAAUGUCCGGGCAUUCAAUUCUUCCCAGAAGAGGUGUUUAUCCGCCAACCUAAGGUACCUUGGAAUUUCUGGUGAUAACAUUUUGUCCUAGGAAUUAAAUGAUUAGUAACAUUCUACUGGCAAGAUUUUUGAAACAUAAUUUUCCAACAUUUGUUCUGGAGUAAGUUAUCAGAUUUUUUUCUUAUGUACUGAAUCUAUAUAACUCAUUGCAGCCUUAAACGGGAGCCACGCACUGCACACAUCCUAGUCUGCCAUGUCACAUUUGAGUCUUCAAUGGCAGGGUAUCUGUCCGGCAGCUCAUGCUCGUGUCAGCAUCGUCAAAGAAUGAAUGUAGAUGCUGAUUUUCAUAUUUUCAGAAAGGUAAAAGGGCUGCUUAUUUUAGCUUGCCUUGAUUGCAAUUUUCAGACACAGUGAAUUUUGUGAUUCUAGGCCCAUAAAGAUUAGUGCUGUUCUUUGUUGAGAGCAAGGCCCAAUACGAUGCUACUAAUGUUUUUUUUAAUUUUAAUUCUUAUUCAAAGCGAUAAAAGAUUAUUUUUCUUUCAAAGAAAUAGAAAUUGCCUUCCAAUGCUCAUAUAUUUUUUGGUCUUCCAGCAUCUUAUUGUAAUUAAUGCUGUAGUAAAAGUUUUCCAGAUGCCUCAUAGGUCCUAAAGUUUUUUUUGAACCGAUUAAGCAUCAGGUUACUGUUUUACAUAGAGAUAUAUACAACUGCUAUGACAGUAGGUCAUUACACUGAUAUUUAUAAUCAGAUAUAUACAUGAGACUUAUAUUAUUAUAUUUUUAUUCUAUGAAGUACAUGCCCAUCUAAAUACCCCUCACAGAGGAGGGAUGUCUCUACUCCACUCGCAUUUCGCAAGGGAGAAAGACGUUAUAAGAAGUCUCCACACAAUUAUGUUUAAUUGAGGGAGGUUGAGUCCAUGGGGACUCGAACCAUUGCCCUCAUAGUCAUACUUAACUUUGAGGGCAAUGGUUCACCACUGGGCUACAAGCCCAAGUGGCAUAGGUCCUAAAGUUAAAGUCACUGAUCUUGCAAGAGGAAGCCAUAUGGAUCGAGCAAUAGCCCUUUUAUUUCAUAUUUUUCAUCUAUCUAUGCUUAAAUGUUUCUCAUUUUCUUAUAAAGAUGGAAGAUACCACCAGUUAAUCGUACAAUGAGCUUCUAAAUGUAUUACACAAGUACCUGUUGAAACAGUGGAUGGUAGCGCAAUUCACAUAUCCUUGCUGAUUUCCUAAAGCUUGCAGUAACAAACCUCUUAAUCUAUGCUGCUCUACUUUUUGGAUGAAUGCUUCGAUAUUUGAAAUAAACUGCAUUUCAGAGAGUUAGCGAUACUCAAUGAUGCGAAUUAACACUCGUAUCAUCUAUGGGUUGUGUGCAUCCUUCCAACAACAGCCUUAUGAAGAGAUUGGCUUUUGGACCUUCUUACUGUUUCAGACUGGUAUCUGUUAUUAGCCUACCACCACUCUUAUAUUAUUAUGUCAGUGUGCUGAGAUAUGCUUUGUGGGCGCUUGUUUUUUCCCCUCCUCUUUGUCAUGCUCAUAAAGUAAAGAUUCAUUGUUUUUUGCCUUCUUGAUGGGUUUGAUUAAAAGCCAAAUUGAUGAUGCUUAAAGGAAAAUCCAGGCCUUACAGCAAAUGGGGUAUUUUUUUAGAUCAUGCUGGUAAAUUCUUUUGGGUGGAUUUCAGCAAUCUUUAGGCCUUCAAUACAGUUUACUGUGUGGAAAUUAUAUGAGUGCUUGAUUUAAUCACCAAAGCAGCCUUUAGUCAAAGGACUGAUGAAUCUUUGGCUCCUAGCUAGUUUGUUAAUGAAUUUUAGAUUUUCUCAAGCUUUAUUUACCAGUUCAACUUCAAUAGACAAGUGCUGAUAUUAUAUGAGAUCCGUAAUUUAUUGCUUCUUCCCCCCUCCCUCUCUUAAAUGCUUAAUUGUGUCAGAUUCUACAAAUUGUAAUUGCUUUUAAAGCUUCUGAGUUCACAGAUCCUUGAUUUCUCGAGUUACUUUGUUGACAGGGAUUUCACUAACCUUUUUUUUUUUUUAUAACAAAAUGCAUAGAAUUAGUCUUAAAGCAUCAAUAGAAAAUUACUCUAUAACACUGAUGGUACAAACAAUUAAUUAAACCUAACCUAUUGUCACGGGAUGAGUAUCUUGCGCAGCUAACCCGUGCGGCACUUAGACAACUUUGCCGAAUGUUGCUAAGUAAGCCUAUAGCUUCUCGAACUAGAGAAGAGAGCAAUGGAGCCGAAUGAGAAAGCUUGUAUUGCACAAAGAGAGAUUACAAUGCUUGAGUUGCUUACAAAGCUUGUUGUUGUGUUUGUUGGAUACAAAUGCCUAAUGACAUCCCAUAUUUAUAGGGGAGGCUUGACAAGCUCUAGAUAUUCUAGAGAAUUCUACCAUGUGCCUAGAAUUCUAGAUAUUUACAUGUGCUGGAAAUGUAUGGAGUAUUCUAGAAUAUUUACUAGUUUAUUUGUGCUAGAGUUGCCUAGAAUGUUCCGGAAUUGGGCCAAGCUAGCAUUCUUGGCCUUGUGUUGGCUCUCUAGCCCGAAAUUGUGGGCAAUUGGGCUAGCGAAUUGGGCGGACCGUAACAUCCUCCCCCACCUAAGCUCGCGGCGUCCUCGUCGCGAUCUCGUCCUUGCUCCUUCACGGACUUGUUCCGCGAUUUGCCAUUAGUCUUCUUGUGCUUCACUCUUGGGGAGGUUCCGCCACUUGCUCCGCAUGUGGUCGUUUCCUUCUUUCGGUUGGUGUUGCGGCGUCCCCUCUUGUGUUUCCGCAACCCCUUAUGCUCGGAUGGCUUUGUGCGUUGCUCAGCCACUCGUCUCGGUGGGAGCUUCGAAGGCAUAGCGUCCUUACCUUUGUCAUGGACGGCUCGUACUUGUUGUGGGACUUGGCUUGGAGGGCUUUCGGAAUCCUCUCCCUUGUGGUGUUGCCGGAUGGAGACCAAGUGGUCCGGAUUCUUCUUGAAUCCUCGUCUGCACUGCAUGACCGAGAGCGCCUUUUCUGCGGGUUGUGCGCGCUCGACAGGUACCACGCAUGUCUUACUCCCAUCGAAGAUGCUAAGGGAGUUUGUUGCUGGAAGUGGGAAGGCAUGUACCUUAUCGAAGAAUUCCAUGCCAAGGAUCAUUGCGAAGUCAUCCAUCGGCACAAUCGAGAAGUCGAGCUUCCCAUUCCAUGUCCCAAGCGUAACGUGUACGCCUCAUGUGGUUCCCGCAAAUGGCUUGGCGGGUGAGUUUACAGCCUUGAUGGUGCCUCUGUGUUGCGUAACCUUGAGGCCUAGACACUUAGCCUCUUCUUCGGAGAUGAAGUUGUGCGUUGCUCCGGUGUCAAGGAGCGCACGAACGGUUCGGCCAUUAAUGAGCACACUUACGAACAUGAGCCCUUUUCUUGUAGGUUCUGGCGGUUGGCUCACGAGUGUGCUAAGGCGUUGGAGCGAACCCAAGUUGUGUUGAGGUUCCUCCGCAGUCGGUGUGUGUUGGCCUUUGAGUUGUGCCACGAGGGCAUUCAACGACUUUUUCUCUGGGCAGUCGCGCACCCAAUGAGGGCCAUUGCAAAUGAAGCAUGGGCUUCGAGGCUUGGGUGGCUUCUCGGACUUACUUUGCCCGCCCUUGCCGCUUGGAGGCUUUUUCUUGCUCCACUCCUUGCAAUUGCGGUCGUUGUCCUCACGGCUCUCUCCCCCACCUUGGUCGUAGCUAGACCUCUUGUCCUUGAGCUGGGCGGAGUAUUCAGUGAGCGACUCCGCAACGGCAAUAGCGUCGUCAAGUGUUUGAACACCACGCCUAUCGAGCUCGGUCUUGGCCCAAUCCUUGAGGCCAUCUUGGAAGUAGAAGAGUGAAUCCUUGUCGGACAUGUCGCUUAUCUCCAACAUAAGGGUAGUGAACUCGUUGAUGUAGUCCCGAAUGCUACCCGUUUGCUUGAGGCGACGUAAGCGCGCUCGCGCUUCCUUCUCCGCAUUGCUUGGGGCGAACUGCUUACGGAGUUCUUGCUUGAAGUCGGCCCAAGUGUCGAUGGUGCAAAUGCCCUUGCCCAUCUCGCCAUGCUUGCGACGCCACCAUAGUUGUGCAGCGCCUCGAAGAUAGGUUGGUGCAGUGCCCACUUUCGAUGCCUCAUCUCGAACACCCAUGGCAUCGAAGUAUUGAUCAAGCCCAAAGAGGAAAUUGUCCACGAUUGUGGCAUUGCGUGUGCCAUCGUAUGUGUCGGGCUUUGGCGCGUCAAUGCGGCGCGCAUCACUCGAGUUUACGGAAGCUAGACUUGCGGAGAGUGUGCGCUUGUGCCAUGCCCAAUCCGAGCAGACUUCAUCCACUUCCGCACGGACAGCGCGUAGUUCGUCCUGAACAAAACUACAAAUUUUGAGCAACUCAUCAUGGAAAGAACGAAACUCACCUCGGAGAAUGUUCGCUUGCUCAUGGAUGAGAGUUUUUGUGGCCACUGUGAACUCGACGUAUUCUCCCUCAAGACCGUCCACUCUUUCCUCCAAUCCCACGAGGCUAUCUUGAUCGGCGGACAAUGCUAUUUCGAGAGUGCCUACACGAGGCUCCAACGCAUCCACGGAUAGGGCCUUGGACUUGCCGCGAGUCUUGCCUUGGGCGCGAUCUCCCUCUCGGCCGCGGCUUGGUUCCAGUGGAACAUCCACACCAACAACACCCUCUUGUGCUACGUUCGAAGGGUUGGCCAUUGCUUCGUGAGCUAAUUUGCGUGCGUGCAAACCUUAGCUCUGAUACCACUUGUCACAGGAUGAGUAUCUUGCGCAGCUAACCCGUGCGGCACUUAGACAACUUUGCCGAAUGUUGCUAAGUAAGCCUAUAGCUUCUCGAACUAGAGAAGAGAGCAAUGGAGCCAAAUGAGAAAACUUGUAUUGCACAAAGAGAGAUUACAAUGCUUGAGUUGCUUACAAAGCUUGUUGUUGUGUUUGUUGGAUACAAAUGCCUAAUGCCAUCCCAUAUUUAUAGGGGAGGCUUGACAAGCUCUAGAUAUUCUAGAGAAUUCUACCAUGUGCCUAGAAUUCUAGAUAUUUACAUGUGCUGGAAAUGUAUGGAGUAUUCUAGAAUAUUUACUAGCUUAUUUGUGCUAGAGUUGCCUAGAAUGUUCCGGAAUUGGGCCAAGCUAGCACUCUUGGCCUUGUGUUGGCUCUCUAGCCCGAAAUUGUGGGCAAUUGGGCUAGCGAAUUGGGCGGACCGUAACACUAUGCUAUGAAAAUCAUUUGAACUAUGAAGGAGUUUGUUGAUAGCAUGAGCAUCAGAAUGCUCUGCUCACUAACUGCAAUCAGUGCAAAUCAGCAAAUGAAUCUGCAAUAGCAUUAGUUUCAUACAUCUAUUAAGGCUUGAGAAAUCUGAAGUUCAACAAUCUACUCAAAGGAUGACAAUUAGCAGGGAGUCUCAUUGAUGCCGACGAUUCAAUCACCCCCAUAAUUUCUGUAUAACAAACUGUAUUGUGGACUAAAGACUGCCAAAAGCCACCCAAAGAAAUUUAUCAGUAUGAUCCUGGAAAAGCGCCUACUUGCUGCAAGUGCAAGACCAGGAUUUCCUUUCAAAUUAGCACUAUUCGAAUCCACAGAGGAGGCCGUCACAAACCAUGCCUCAACAGCCGAUGUAAAUCCCAUCAAACUAGAUAUUUCAAGCUUAUAGGACUGCCUAGUGAUAAAACCGCCGCGGCCAUAGAUACCAGUCCAAGAGCCAAUCACUUCAUAAGGAUGUUGCUGGAAAGAGGCACACAAGGAGCACACCUUGUAUCAUUGACUAUUCCAACUCUUGGAAUACAUUUAAUAAUCCUGAUAUUCAUCCAACCAUAAAGAAAAACAGAUUAAAGGAUAUUGUAUCCAAGAAAGAAGAAAAAUGAUGCUGGAAAAAUAUGACACAAGUCAAGUUUAGAUUAGGAAAGAAGGCUAAUCACUUACCACAAGCUUGAGAGCAACCACUGUUUUGACAGAUAAUUCUUGCUCAAUCAGGAUAUGCAGAUGAUUCAGAUGCUCUUUGUAUGCUUGAUUGGUGAUUACAGUCUAAUUAUCAGCUCCAGAUAUCUAGAUGGCUUCAGCUGUCUGCGUCUUCCAUCUCGAUAAGAAUGAACAGAAAGUUUUUUCUGGUAUUAUCAAAUUCUAGACCCUUAAUACAGCCAGCACCUCUGAUUAGAAAGCAAACAGCAGUCCCUUAUGGCUUAUCUUGCAUGAAGACUCAUAACUCUUGGACCUAAGAGGCAUCUGUGAAACUUUUACUGCAGAAUUAAAUUACAAUAAGAUGCCUGGGAUACCAAAAAUGUCCAAGCACUGGACGGCAAAUUCUAUUUUUAUCUUUAAAGAAAAAUACUUUUUUUCAUAGUAUAUUAAAAAUAAAGAAGAAUAAAACAAAAUCUUUGAUAACAUAAUAAACCUUGCACCUUCACAACUGAUAAAACCAGAGCCAAAAUGCAAAAAGGUAAAAAAAUAACAAAAGCUCAUAAACCGCAUAACAAAACCAAUAAGAAGGAAGUCAUUAUGAAUUUAUGAAUCAAAUAAAAGCAAAGCAAUAAUCUCCAUGGGCUGCAAAUCUCACUACUAAUGUUAAUUCUGAUUAUUGAUUAUUCCAAUCGAGGCUAACCAAAAUAUCAGCCGUCCUAUUACCUUCUUUAAGAGUAUGAGAAAUCAGCGAUUGAAUUCCUUUCUUAGCGAUGCUGACACCUGCAUGAGACUUGCAUAGCGGAUCAAAAUGUGCAUGGCCAUCAUAUUAAAUUUCAAUGAGUGAUAUAAAUCCAGGACAUAACAAUAACCUGAUAACAUAGUCCUGAACACAUUAACAGACUUAUAUUUCAAAUUUUUUAAAGUAAAAUGUUAUUAAUCUUUUAAUUCCAAGGGUAACAUUUAAUUUGCAGUGUACUUAUUUAUCUUCAUUCCGGGGAUUGGACUUACAGAGAGGUAGAUGACAUUGCAGCAAGAUCCGGUGAGCUUUUCAGCUUUCAGCUGCUACUUUAGUUCCGUCACCAGAUUGUCCACUGCCAUCCUCCAAGUAUCACCUUUCAUUAACUUCAGAAUAUAUGGAAGGGCAAGAACUUCAUUUUAUUACAUUGAGAUACUAUGAAAAUCCAGGCUGAUUGUCCUCCAGAUAAUAAGAUAAGAUGAGGGGACUUGUGAUCUAAGCCAGUCUCAGCAGAUUACUGCGGCAUUCAACCGAAAAUUGUCUCAUUGAAUGGCCGAUUGGUGUUUAAAUUUAAUUAGCAGCUGCAGACAUGUAGAUAGUAUCAGUUAUUUUCGGUCUUGUCAAAUUCAGUAACAUUUAUAGUUGAAAAGAAACUGAAUCAAAAGAGCUAUUGCUAGAUCCUUUAUUAAAUAUACCUGCCAUUUUCGCUACAGCAUUAAAUUACAAUAAGAUGCUGUGAGACCAAAAUUGUAAAAGAAAUGGAAGGCAAAUUCUUUUUCUUGUGUAAAGGAAAAUACUUUUUAAUAGCUUUUAAUAAGAAAAAACAAGAAUGAACAAAAAUUAGCAGUAAACAAAUGAGGCUUAUUCUUUAACAACUGAUAGAGAAAGCCAGAAAACCAGAGCUAAAACUUAAAAAGAAAACCAAAAUAACUCAUUCCUUGGCGAAGUACGAGAUAGAGUUCAUAAACCACACAUCUAGACAACCAAUAAUAGGUCAGUCGAUGUCAAUCAAGUAAAAAGAAAAACACUAAUCUUCUAGACAAAUGAGCGGCACUAUUACCUUCUUGGGAAGUAUGAGAUGUCUGAAUUCAUUCCUUGGCGAAGUCAAUACCACCAUGAGCCGUCUGAUGGAGACACCUAUUGAAGAUUCAUAUCACGGAUCAAGAUAACAAAAUGCUGAUAACUUAUAUCUGAACACAUAAACUGAAAGUUAUUUUUCAAAAAGCUUACAAAACGUCACUUCUAGUAAGUUACUAAUGAUUUAAUUUUUUGGUUAACAUGUAAUGUAUAGUUUACUUAUAUGUACUCAAUCUGGAGAUAGGACUUACAGAGAGGUAAGAUGAUAUUGCGACAGAAGUCCCUUCACCAUCCGCUACGUGUCACAUUCCAUUAAACUCGGCAAAUAUCGAAGAGCAAGGAUUUCAUUUUUACAUUGAGAUAAUCGUCGAACAAAUAUACAGCUUGAUUGUCCUCUUGAUAGUCAUGUCAAUCGAGCUACCUUGUGAUGAAAGCCCAUUUUGUGCUAACUAAUGCUGCAUUCAGCCAAAAAUCUGCACAUCAACAUUCCAGGAAUUACUGUUAAAAUACAGGAUAACAGAUUAAUGCUCCUUUUUGUAUUAUCUAAGUUCAUGAAAAUCAAACUGAUUUCUGGAAAAUAUUUAAAUGAUUUCAUAACAGUAAUCUGAAUUGUUCAGGGGAUAGAAGUUGACAGAGCUGUCUUCAAACACAAGAUUGGAGAGAGCAUUUUCUGGUUCUACGCUCUUCUUUUGUUUUGAAGAUGAAAAUAGACCUUGUGCGUCCUCUUACAGACGGUGAAUGGAUUUGCCACCUAUCAAAACGGAAGGAAUGUGGGCUAUCUUUGGCCACUCUUGUCCUUUGCCCUUUUUGAAUUUGUUCUCCAAUAAAGGACAGCCUUGAAUAUCUAGAAACAAAAGAGACGAUGGAAAGCCUGCCUCCGGGAAGGAAGUGAAAUUUGGGCAAGAGGAGACUUUUAAUUGCUCAAGAGAUAGAAGGUAAUGAAAACCCUUGGAAGAUAGGCGUUCCAAUUUUGGGAAAUCUGAAAUUCUAAUCAAAGUCAGAGAGGUCGGCAAUAUCACUCCCUUCUCUACCUCAGGAAAAGACACAGCAUCUGAGCAUC